AGAGUUUGAUCCUGGCUCAGGAUGAACGCUGGCGGCGUGCUUAACACAUGCAAGUCGAACGAAGCACUUGAUUUGAUUUUCUUCGGAGAUGAAGAUCCUGUGACUGAGUGGCGGACGGGUGAGUAACGCGUGGGCAACCUGCCUUGUACAGGGGGAUAACAGUUAGAAAUGACUGCUAAUACCGCAUAAGACCACAGCAUCACAUGAUGCAGGGGUAAAAACUGAGGUGGUACAAGAUGGGCCCGCGUCUGAUUAGCUGGUUGGUGAGGUAACGGCUCACCAAGGCGACGAUCAGUAGCCGACCUGAGAGGUUGAACGGCCACAUUGGGACUGAGACACGGCCCAGACUCCUACGGGAGGCAGCAGUGGGGAAUAUUGCACAAUGGGGGAAACCCUGAUGCAGCGACGCCGCGUGGAGGAAGAAGGUCUUCGGAUUGUAAACUCCUGUUGUUGAGGAAGAUAAUGACGGUACUCAACAAGGAAGUGACGGCUAACUACGUGCCAGCAGCCGCGGUAAAACGUAGGUCACAAGCGUUGUCCGGAAUUACUGGGUGUAAAGGGAGCGCAGGCGGGAAGACAAGUUGGAAGUGAAAUCUAUGGGCUCAACCCAUAAACUGCUUUCAAAACUGUUUUUCUUGAGUAGUGCAGAGGUAGGCGGAAUUCCCGGUGUAGCGGUGGAAUGCGUAGAUAUCGGGAGGAACACCAGUGGCGAAGGCGGCCUACUGGGCACCAACUGACGCUGAGGCUCGAAAGUGUGGGUAGCAAACAGGAUUAGAUACCCUGGUAGUCCACACCGUAAACGACGAUUACUAGGUGUUGGAGGAUUGACCCCUUCAGUGCCGCAGUUAACACAAUAAGUAAUCCACCUGGGGAGUACGACCGCAAGGUUGAAACUCAAAGGAAUUGACGGGGGCCCGCACAAGCAGUGGAGUAUGUGGUUUAAUUCGACGCAACGCGAAGAACCUUACCAAGUCUUGACAUCCUGCGACGAUGCUGGAAACAGUAUUUUCCUUCGGGACGCAGAGACAGGUGGUGCAUGGUUGUCGUCAGCUCGUGUCGUGAGAUGUUGGGUUAAGUCCCGCAACGAGCGCAACCCUUACUGUCAGUUACUACGCAAGAGGACUCUGGCAGGACUGCCGUUGACAAAACGGAGGAAGGUGGGGAUGACGUCAAAUCAUCAUGCCCUUUAUGACUUGGGCUACACACGUACUACAAUGGCGUUAAACAAAGAGAAGCAUGACCGCGAGGUGGAGCAAAACUCAGAAACAACGUCCCAGUUCGGACUGCAGGCUGCAACUCGCCUGCACGAAGUCGGAAUUGCUAGUAAUCGUGGAUCAGCAUGCCACGGUGAAUACGUUCCCGGGCCUUGUACACACCGCCCGUCACACCAUGAGAGCCGGGGGGACCCGAAGUCGGUAGUCUAACCGCAAGGAGGACGCCGCCGAAGGUAAAACUGGUGAUUGGGGUGAAGUCGUAACAAGGUA
RNAcentral lists this ribosomal RNA (1484 nucleotides) under metagenome. RNAcentral describes it as "bacterial SSU rRNA". It matches the Rfam family "Bacterial small subunit ribosomal RNA". The record is from RNAcentral.